AAACAUGGCAUCAAGUCAUCUGAAUCUAAGAGCAGAUGCUAGGAGGCACAAGAAAUUUAAAGCAACGUUGCAAAACUAGUUGUAACUUGUGCUUCAGAAUGUGAAGAGGACUACAAAAAUCUGAGAAUUUUCGUCAAAGAAAAAUUAAAAUCACACGGACUUCAGAAUCUGGUGGACCAUCAAAAAGUUGUUGAUACACACUCCCUUUUUGAGACAGUAUUUAUUAAUGAACAUCAGCUACCAAUGCAACGCAAACUUAAAAUACUGAAAGACACCAUGAAUGAUAUGGGUAAACUUCAUGUGGCUGAGAAAGUCAAGCAGUGCUUAAAUCAAAUGCGUACAUCCAAUCCCAAUCCAUCAGAUUCAUUGCCUUCACACAUGUUAAAGAGAAGUUGCCCUAUGAAACCUUAUAUUCUACAGAUAUCACGAGAGCUUGGUACGAACUGGAAAGACCUGGCAAGACAACUGGGUUUCAUUGAAGCAGAAAUCGACAACAUCGAGCAUCGGG
Corticium candelabrum is the source of this 508-nucleotide long non-coding RNA. RefSeq lists it as uncharacterized. NCBI's taxonomy places the organism in Eukaryota, Metazoa, Porifera, Homoscleromorpha, Homosclerophorida, Plakinidae. The transcript is spliced from 2 exons. The record is from RefSeq and is a predicted model, not a curated record.